This 550-nucleotide ribosomal RNA is filed under the name uncultured fungus. Its description in RNAcentral is "eukaryotic LSU rRNA". The stretch from base 185 to 338 matches the Rfam family "5.8S ribosomal RNA". Lineage: Eukaryota; Fungi. The record is from RNAcentral.
AAGUCGUAACAAGGUCUCCGUUGGUGAACCAGCGGAGGGAUCAUUACUGAGUACUACACUCUCUACCCUUUGUGAACUAUUAUACCUGUUGCUUCGGCGGCGCCCGCAAGGGUGCCCGCCGGUCUCAUCAGAACCUCUGUUUUCGAACCCGACGAUACUUCUGAGUGUUCUUAGCGAACUGUCAAAACUUUAACAACGGAUCUCUUGGCUCCAGCAUCGAUGAAGAACGCAGCGAAACGCGAUAUGUAAUGUGAAUUGCAGAAUUCAGUGAAUCAUCGAAUCUUUGAACGCACAUGGCGCCUUCCAGUAUCCUGGGAGGCAUGCCUGUCCGAGCGUCGUUUCAACCCUCGAGCCCCUGCUGGCCCGGCGUUGGGGAUCUGCCACGGCAGGCCCCUAAAACCAGUGGCGGACCCGAAGGGCCCUCUCCUUUGCGCAGUAGCAUUCGCCUCGCAUCGGGAGUCCUCGGCGUCCUGCCUCUAAACCCCCACAAGCCCGCUUCGGCGGCACCAAGGUUGACCUCGGAUCAGGUAGGAAUACCCGCUGAACUUAA